AUCUGAUGACUGCGAUCUUACCGGAUGUUCACUGGCGAUGGAGUCUACGGUGGAAGCGGAUUUAUUUGGAAGAGAUGUCAACGAUAAUACACGAACUGGGACAGACGGCUACGUGCUCUCCCAGACACGGUGGUGGACUCCACACACUUCCGAACUCCGGGCGAACAAAUAGUAGCGCGAAUCUCUCCGCGACCUUCCGUCCCCCGGAUACGGCUCGUUUUGGCGAGCGCGGGAUGUGGGUCAGUGACGUCACGGCGACAUCUGCCGCCCCCGCACCUGGCGCCCCCGCGCCGCACCCCGCACACCCGCCCCCGCAGAGAUGCAGAUUUAUAGCACAACCGAAACUACGGCACACGGACGUAGAGCCGAUAGAAGAGCUGGGCGUACUCUGUGUAAGGAUGUGAUGAAAAGUUUUAAAUUAUAGCAAAAGUAAUUAGAUUAUCACCCUCGAAUAGAUAAUAUUUUAUAUUUUUGGAACGGAAUUCCUUAUCGCGCGUUGCGAACGGGGACUAGACGGAAAAAACUAAGACCAAAAGUUUGUGACGACACUUUUUCUCGUAAUUGUUACGGCGUGUGCAUGUUUC
Molecule: RNA transcript, 584 nt
Organism: Bicyclus anynana (squinting bush brown)
Lineage: Eukaryota; Metazoa; Arthropoda; Insecta; Lepidoptera; Nymphalidae
Exons: 3
Source: RefSeq, a predicted model, not a curated record